GACGAACGCUGGCGGCGUGCUUAACACAUGCAAGUCGAACGGAAAGGCCCGGGUUUGGUCGGGUGCUCGAGUUGCGAACGGGUGAGUAACACGUGAGUAACCUGCCCGGUACUGGGGGAUAACUACAGGAAACUGUAGCUAAUACCGCAUAGGAACUCCUGCUGCAUGGUGGCGGUUGAAAAGGGUCGGCGGCUGGACUUGGAGUUGGGGCUUAGCUGUUUUUGGGUGGGGUAGUGGCUUAGCCAGGCUUUGACGGGCAGCCGUACUGAGACGGUGACAGGCCCCAUUGGGACUGAGAUACGGGCAAGACUGCUACGGGAGGCAUGGGUGGAGAAUAGAGCAAGAUGGGCGGCAGCAUGAAGGAGCAACGCCGGGUGGGGGAUGACGGUCGUCGGAUUGUAACCCGUGUUAGAGUGUGAAGAAGAGUGAGUGACGGUAAUGGGUAAAGAAGCACCGGCUAACUACGUG
Molecule: ribosomal RNA, 468 nt
Filed under: uncultured bacterium
Lineage: Bacteria
Description: partial 16S ribosomal RNA
Rfam family: Bacterial small subunit ribosomal RNA
Source: RNAcentral